AUGGCAAGUGGCAGGCCAGUUUUAGACAGUCUUGAGGAGUUUGACUCGUCAGACUCCGGUAGCAUUUAUGAACCACAGAUAAAUGCCAGAAAGAAGAAACAGAAAACAACAUCUGGGCCACAGCCCAAAAAAUCCAGGCGUAAUGCUACAGCGAGGGGGACGCCCAGCGUCAGCAGCAGCACAAACCCCAGCCCUGGAGAGCCAUCCCCCCAGGGGCAGGCACAUUACCAGGCCAGAUCCAGAUCUAUACCUGAGAGAAACACCAAUGAAAGGAACCAAGGGAUCCGUGCAAAGGAGAUCUAUGAUGCUGUCUGCUCUGGAAAGGCUGCCAUAGUGACAGUGGUGGACGAGUGGCUGGACAGCUACAAGCAGAGCAGAGAGGGGGGGCUGCUGGUCCUCAUCAACUUCAUUGUUCAGUCCUGCGGAUGCAAAGGUGUGGUCACUAGAGAGAUGUUUGACAGCAUGCAGAAUGCCGAGAUCAUCAGCACUCUUACAAAGGAGUUCAAUGAGACUUCGGGGAACUACCCUCUCAGCACUCCAGGCCCUCAGAUGAAGCAUUUCAAAGCCGGUCUCUCCGAGUUUUCCCGGGUUCUUAUGCGCUCCUGUCGUAACAGCAUCAUUUAUGACGAGUACAUCUUCCCUUCCCUGCUGGCUCUGCUCACCGGGCUGUCGGACUCCCAGGUCCGGGCCUUCAGGCACACCAGCACGCUCCUGGCUUUGAAGGUGAUGACGGGGCUGGUGGAGGUGGCUGUCUCAGUCUCCGUUCAGCUGCAAACCACCCAGCGGCAAAUCGACACGGAAAAGAGCAAGAACCCUCAAAUCCGAGCCUCGGACAAACUGGAGGAGCUGCACGCCACCAUCAGCGAGCUGAAAGAGAACAGAGAAGAAGUGUGCUCCAUGAUGAACGCCACCUUUCGUGGCGUGUUUGUGCACCGGUAUCGAGACCUGCUGCCUGAUAUCAGAGCCAUCUGCAUCGAAGAGCUGGGGGUUUGGCUGAACAAAGACCCAGAGGACUUUCUCAAUGAUGGAUGUCUGAAGUAUUUGGGUUGGACCCUGUUUGAUAAGCAAAGUGCAGUGCGUCUGCAGUGUGUGCGCGCCCUGCAGGGUCUGUACAAGGAGAAGGAGUUCAUUGGUCGCCUGGAGCUUUUCACCAGCAGAUUCAAAGAAAGGAUGCUGUCUAUGGUGCUGGACAAAGAGCCAGAUGUGGCUGUGGAAGCGGUGAAUCUGCUGCUGCUGAUUCAACUAAUGACUGAGGAAGGCUUAAGCGAGGAGGAGUGUGGUCGCAUCUACCCCUUAGUAUACGCUGCUCAUCGGGGCCUGGCGUCUGCUGGGGGGGCUUUCCUCUACAACAAGUAUGAUGUCUGCUCAUUUCUGGAUAGAAGUGUGUGUUUGCAGUUCCAUGAGCAUGGGGCAUACCUGGUGGACAGCCUGUGGAGCGUGGCCGGAUCCGAGCUGAGGGACUGGGAAACUAUGAGCGCUUUGCUGCUGCAGGAUGCUGGUCUGAUGUAUGAGGAGGAGGGGGUGCUCUUAGAGCUCAUGAUGUGUGCAGUCAGACAGGCAGCGCAGGGAACCCCACCUGUAGGGAGAAGUCACGCUAGAAAGAUUGCGAGUAUGAAAGAAAAGAAGGUCCAAGAGCAGGACAGGAAUCGCAUCACAACACACUUCAUCCCCAUUCUGCCACAGCUGCUCGCCAAGUACUCGGCAGAUGCUAAGAAGGUCAGCCUCCUUCUCAAAGCGCCUCUUUACUUUGAUCUGGAGAUGUACAGCAGCACUCAGUGGCUGAAAAAGUAUCUAGACCUGCUGCUGUCCCAGGUGUGUGGCGUAGUGGAGAAGCACACUGACGGCACCGUGCUGCAGGCUUGUGCCCAGCUGGCCAACACCCUGUGCUCAGAAAACUACACCUUCUCUUCCCGGGCACAUCUGGCUUUCAGCCAGCUCCUGGACGACCUGGUGGAAUGUUUCAACUCAUAUUUCGCCGAAAUAUUGCAGGUUGGAGUCCAAUCAGGGAGCUUUUCUAAGAUGUGUUGGUGUGCUCUGACAUACUGCAUAGCAUGUGAACCAAAUGACCUAAAGUCUGAAGAAGAAUCCACCGUGAAAACUGCUGUUUCUGCAACAGAACUUGUCCAGCGCUGCUGCACCACUAAAUGCAUCACAACUCUGUCAUUCCUCUUUCUUUUUUUUUUACAGGCGGAACUGAAGCAUCUGAAAAAAGACAUGAACACGUUCUGCAGAAUCUGUCAGAGGUGUUUGUCUGUGGACGAGACAACGAUCAGAGAUGAGGCCUUUGAGCUGCUGUGUGACCUGCUGCUGUUGUACAGCCAGGCUUCAGUCCGUUCAGAACCUGCGCUCCAGCCGCUGGUCCACCUGCCGUCUGUGUCUCUGUGCUCCGAGUUGGCGUCGUUCCUGCUGGACCACGUCUUCACUGAGGAGGAAGACCUUUCACUCAGUGCUGACAAAGUGACGGAUGAAAGACGCUCAGAGGUCCUUUUGAAGAGGCGCAGGCAGCUAGCCGGCUACUGUAAGCUAGUUCUGUACGGAGUCCUGGACCUGUCUGCUGCCACCAACGUCUUCAAGCACUACAGCAAGUUUUUUAAAGACUUUGGUGACAUCAUCAAAGAGACGGUGAGCAAGAGCAGGCUCAUCAACCCCGUGCAGAGCGCCAAGACGUUCUGCCUGUGCCUGCAGCAGGCGGCUGCGCCCCUGCUCCAUAAGUGUCCAUGGUCGUCUCUGAUGGAAAGAACGGAGUCGGUUCAUUCCGUCCUGCCAUUUAUUCUCAUGCUUUUCAUAUUUGCUUUCAGGGAUGGGAUAAAGUUUGCGUUUCGAGUCCCAGAGGAUGGCAGCAAGCGGCUUCCAAAUGCGGACUUCUUGGAAAUCCUCAGCGAGUUCAGCUUCAAGCUGCUUCAGCAGGAUCGAGUUAUUGUGAUCCAAACUAUUUUCUGUUCAUUAGAAGUUUUAUUUUUGGAGGGAAUUGUGUUUUUUGCUCCAGGUUCAACAUCCAGCACAACCAAAGGGCCGUGGCUGGAGAGCAGCAGCAUCCACAGCCGCAUGCACACUCCUGUGCUCACCUCCACUGUCCAAAAACGGGCAGCACCGCCGCCGCCACCCACACAGGUCAGAGCAGCAGAGUCGGACGCCGGCAGUGGAUUGGCUGAGCUGGAGUCCGAAGACGAGUUCUCCUCAGGGUUAGUUCCAUAG
Molecule: long non-coding RNA, 3195 nt
Filed under: Oryzias sinensis (Chinese medaka)
Lineage: Eukaryota; Metazoa; Chordata; Actinopteri; Beloniformes; Adrianichthyidae
Description: lncRNA (ENSOSIG00000010807.1)
Source: RNAcentral